RNAcentral lists this ribosomal RNA (393 nucleotides) under uncultured bacterium. Its description in RNAcentral is "partial 16S ribosomal RNA". It matches the Rfam family "Bacterial small subunit ribosomal RNA", at positions 338 to 729 of the family's 1533-position model. The record is from RNAcentral.
CCUACGGGAGGCAGCAGUGAGGAAUAUUGGUCAAUGGCCGAGAGCCUGAACCAGCCAAGUCGCGUGAGGGAAGAAUGUCCUAUGGAUUGUAAACUUCUUUUGUCAGGGAGCAAAGUCACCCACGUGUGGCUUUUUGUGAGUACCUUAAGAAAAAGCAUCGGCUAACUCCGUGCCAGCAGCCGCGGUAAUACGGAGGAUGCGAGCGUUAUCCGGAUUUAUUGGGUUUAAAGGGUGCGUAGAGGGGUUGUAAAGUCAGCGGGAAAAUCGUGGAGCUAAACGCCAAACAGCCGUUGAAACUGGUGAUCUUGAGUGGGGGAGAGGUAGGCGGAAUGCGUGGUGUAGCGGUGAAAUGCAUAGAUAUCACGAAGAACUCCGAUUGCGAAGGCAGCAUAC